Triticum dicoccoides is the source of this 1339-nucleotide long non-coding RNA. RefSeq lists it as uncharacterized. The record is from RefSeq and is a predicted model, not a curated record. The transcript has 5 exons. NCBI's taxonomy places the organism in Eukaryota, Viridiplantae, Streptophyta, Magnoliopsida, Poales, Poaceae.
CCACCCUCCCGACCCAUCCCGAUCUCACCUUCUUCUGGCUCCCAGCACGGCUCUGCCCCCAUCCUCUCACCGCUCCUGACACCGCCGGCCCCCGCCCGCUCCCCGGCUCCUGGCGCCGCCCGUCCCCAUCUCCCCCCGGCUCCCUGCGCCGCCCACACCCCACCUUCUCCUCGGAUCCCGGCGACUCCUCGCCCCCACCUCCUUCCUUGCUCCCGGCGCCCAAUCUCCUAGGAUCCCGGCGACGCCUCGCCCCCACCUCCUUCCUCGCUCCAGGCACCGCCCGACCCCCAACCUCCCUGGAUCUGGCGUCACUCCACCACCACCUCCUACAUCCCAUAGCAGCGGUCGCCCCUGCCGCCUGUGUGCGCCUCCGUCAUCCUCCCGGCGCCGGUUGUGCGCAUCGCCCCACGCCGCCUGCCACGCGAGCGCCCACCCCAAACCGCUGGCUCGCCGGCUUGCCAGGCAACCGCUGGCUUGUUCUUCCUCUGGCCACCGCUAGCUCGCCGGCCGUUCACCUUCGCCACCUACUGAAGGUCGGCUUUUUGAAAUAGCCAUCAUGUAUACAACAACUACGGCAGUGGCCUUGGAUGCGCCCAACGAAGGACAACGAUAGGCAAAAAAAUGCUAGUGCAGCUGCUUGCCUCCUCUUCAUAUUCCAUACCAGAAAACAUCCUUCGCCCCUUUAUUUUCUUUACAUCCUCCCAAUCCGCUCGAUCUCGUCCUGCUCCGGAGCAUGCUUCAGUUCAACAAAAAGCUCCGGAAAAGUUCAGAGUUCGGAGUACUUUGCAUUCAUGGGCUAAAGUCGUGGAUUGCGCCCUGCACGUCGUUUCGCAAUGAGCCAGGAUAGAGGUUGUUGGACACUGUCGUGCACGCCGUGAGCAGCUGUGGCCGUUGGACACCCGUUCGGAGUUUUGGCCAAGAACCAUCGUCGGCCAGUAGGGUGUCACCUGAUUUUCGUGCAACAACGACAACUUGGUAAGCCUUGCAUAGACAGGCUUCGCAAUGAUGAAUGCAUGAAGAUCUUUGUAGGUCCUGGCGACUGUGAUAAAGGCAAGUGCUUAAGUGGUUUUUGCUGAAGAAGAAUGGCCUAGCUUACCUGGCGUAGCAGUACUCAAAGUCAAGUAUCGAUGAUGUGGAAGCAUUGAAACUUUUCCUAGUUGCUUGACUUCAAUAACUAUGCCUUUUGAGAUCGUACCAUUUGGUCAUCUUAUGGCUUUGUAUCGAACUUCUAGUCAUCAUGUUACAACCGUUCGAUGAAGAAAAUACAUUAGUCCAAAAGCAUGCAGGUGCUAAUGCUGCAGCGAUCUCGUUCGCAGCCGCAAGGAUCUUGUUCUGUUUA